GAUGAACGCUGGCGGCGUGCCUAAUACAUGCAAGUCGAGCGAACAGAUGAGGAGCUUGCUCCUCUGACGUUAGCGGCGGACGGGUGAGUAACACGUGGAUAACCUACCUAUAAGACUGGGAUAACUUCGGGAAACCGGAGCUAAUACCGGAUAAUAUAUUGAACCGCAUGGUUCAAUAGUGAAAGACGGUUUUGCUGUCACUUAUAGAUGGGUCCGCGCCGCAUUAGCUAGUUGGUAAGGUAACGGCUUACCAAGGCAACGAUGCGUAGCCGACCUGAGAGGGUGAUCCGCCACACUGGAACUGAGACACGGUCCAGACUCCUACGGGAGGCAGCAGUAGGGAAUCUUCCGCAAUGGGCGAAAGCUUGACGGAGCAACGCCGCGUGAGUGAUGAAGGUCUUCGGAUCGUAAAACUCUGUUAUUAGGGAAGAACAAAUGUGUAAGUAACUAUGCACGUCUUGACGGUACCUAAUCAGAAAGCCACGGCUAACUACGUG
RNAcentral lists this ribosomal RNA (497 nucleotides) under uncultured bacterium. RNAcentral describes it as "partial 16S ribosomal RNA". It matches the Rfam family "Bacterial small subunit ribosomal RNA", at positions 28 to 507 of the family's 1533-position model. The record is from RNAcentral.